AUUGAACGCUGGCGGCAGGCCUAACACAUGCAAGUCGAGCGGAUGAAGGGAGCUUGCUCCUGGAUUCAGCGGCGGACGGGUGAGUAAUGCCUAGGAAUCUGCCUGGUAGUGGGGGAUAACGUCCGGAAACGGGCGCUAAUACCGCAUACGUCCUGAUGGAGAAAGUGGGGGAUCUUCGGACCUCACGCUAUCAGAUGAGCCUAGGUCGCAUUAGCUAGUUGGUGGGGUAAAGGCCUACCAAGGCGACGAUCCGUAACUGGUCUGAGAGGAUGAUCAGUCACACUGGAACUGAGACACGGUCCAGACUCCUACGGGAGGCAGCAGUGGGGAAUAUUGGACAAUGGGCGAAAGCUUGAUCCAGCCAUGCCGCGUGUGUGAAGAAGGUCUUCGGAUUGUAAAGCACUUUAAGUUGGGAGGAAGGGCAGUAAGUUAAUACCUUGCUGUUUUGACGUUACCAACAGAAUAAGCACCGGCUAACUUCGUG
This 484-nucleotide ribosomal RNA is filed under the name uncultured bacterium. RNAcentral describes it as "partial 16S ribosomal RNA". It matches the Rfam family "Bacterial small subunit ribosomal RNA", at positions 30 to 507 of the family's 1533-position model. The record is from RNAcentral.